GUGCGURWCGCGUAUGCAACCUACCUUUCACAGGGGGAURGCCCGAAGAAAUUUGGAUUAAUACCCCAUAAUAUUGUGAGAUGGCAUCAUUUWGCAAUUAAAACUAYGGUGGUGAAAGAUGGGCAUGCGUCCUAUUAGCUAGUUGGAGUGGUAACRGCACCCCAAGGCUACGAUAGGUAKGGGUCCUGAGAGGGAGAUCCCCCACACUGGUACUGAGACAGGGACCAGACUCCUACGGGAGGCAGCAGUGAGGAAUAUUGGUCAAUGGUCSGAAGACUGAACCAGCCAUGCCGCGUGCAGGAAGAAUGCCUUAUGGGUUGUAAACUGCU
RNAcentral lists this ribosomal RNA (329 nucleotides) under Capnocytophaga sp. X32. RNAcentral's name for it is "partial 16S ribosomal RNA". It matches the Rfam family "Bacterial small subunit ribosomal RNA", at positions 106 to 434 of the family's 1533-position model. Lineage: Bacteria; Pseudomonadati; Bacteroidota; Flavobacteriia; Flavobacteriales; Flavobacteriaceae. The record is from RNAcentral.